ACUCUAAAAGCUUUGAUGAAGCAUUGGUCUUGUAAACCAAAGAAGGAAUAUUUCCUUAGAGUA
Molecule: transfer RNA, 63 nt
Filed under: Modiolus modulaides
Lineage: Eukaryota; Metazoa; Mollusca; Bivalvia; Mytilida; Modiolidae
Description: tRNA-Thr
Source: RNAcentral